This is a non-coding RNA of Mycena crocata, 123 nucleotides long. NCBI's taxonomy places the organism in Eukaryota, Fungi, Basidiomycota, Agaricomycetes, Agaricales, Mycenaceae. The record is from the annotation of a GenBank genome assembly.
GGUGGCAUGGCCGAGUGGUCUAAGGCGCUGGAAUUAGGUAAAGUUGGACCCGGAUCAACCCGGAUCAGCACUUCUUACGUAAUCCAGUCCGAAAGGGCGUGGGUUCGAACCCCACUGCCAUCA